GGGCGUGUAGUGUAGCUUGGAUAUCACCUCGGACUUCUAAUCCGAGAACACGGGUUCAAAUCCUGUCACGCCCGCCA
RNAcentral lists this transfer RNA (77 nucleotides) under Candidatus Poseidoniaceae archaeon. Its description in RNAcentral is "tRNA-Arg". It matches the Rfam family "tRNA". Rfam says of the family: Transfer RNA (tRNA) molecules are approximately 80 nucleotides in length. Their secondary structure includes four short double-helical elements and three loops (D, anti-codon, and T loops). The record is from RNAcentral. Lineage: Archaea; Methanobacteriati; Thermoplasmatota; Candidatus Poseidoniia; Candidatus Poseidoniales; Candidatus Poseidoniaceae.